RNAcentral lists this long non-coding RNA (6783 nucleotides) under Gallus gallus (chicken). Its description in RNAcentral is "lncRNA (ENSGALG00010027010.1)". Lineage: Eukaryota; Metazoa; Chordata; Aves; Galliformes; Phasianidae. The record is from RNAcentral.
GGGGCACAGGAUGAUGUAUGGACACCAGAAGGAGUUCAAGUUUCAGAACAAUGAUUGGUGGCGCAGGGUGACAGGCAGACGUGCUGAGUGUUGGUGUGCAGCUCCCUGCAAAGAGCUCCUUGGGUCAUUUCUGUGCACCUCCCUGUACCUACAGCAGAAAGAAAAAUCAGAAACAAUGAUUUUGAAGGGAAUGAAUGGGUAAAGAACGGCAGUGCUGUGUCCCAGUGAAGCUGCAGAGCUCUGAGCCAUUCCACUCUGUGUUUAUGCACUGCUCCUUGGAGAAUGGGAAAGCUGAAGAGGAGUGGAGGAGUUUAGGAAGUUCACAAGCAGAGUGCUUGUGUUGUUUCUGGCACGGAGUUACCGGCCGUGGGCGUCCCUUCGCAGUGCCAUUCACCUCCAGCAGCCACAGCCAACCCCACUGCUCCCAUUAAGGGUGGCUCAGUCAGUUCCCGGCACAGCAAAGCUUGGGCUGUGGGUCAGGGCCACGAGCAAGGUGCAGCCGGAGCCAGAACGAAGCUGAUCGGUGUGGGUUGGAGUGCUGGAGGCAGCUGCUGCUGAGGUGAGGCACAGUGCUCUGCCUUCUGCUCAGGGCCGUGUGGGAUCCCCGCAGAGAGCCGCUGUCCUCGGCUUUGUGCACAUCUGUGAGCACAGUCACUGAUGUCCCCUCCCUGAACAGAGCACACUGCUGACGUCUCGUUGUGGCUGUGCUAAUGCCAUGCAUUAGUCCUGAAAGAGAAAGGGGAAAGAGAGGGAUGGGUUUGUGUCUUCUCCUGACUAUGCAAAACCGAAUGAAACAGGAGACAGAAGCUACGAAUCCACCCCGUCCCAGUGCAGCCCAAAGAUAAAAGAGUUAAAAUGCUCUGUAAUUAGAGCCAGCCUCAAAGAAGACAUUUUAUGACGGCAGUAGUCAGAUGCUCAGCUCUUACACCCCGUGGCACAGAAUGAAAGAAUGCAAUUUUUCAGCAGUGCUGGGGUUCUCAUUUGGCUCAGCAGCAGUUCAGAGGUAUUUCUCCUUUUGUAAGAAAUAUGAACCGAUUGUGAGGUUGGGACUGCUCGGGUGGCACAGAAAUUUUAUAUAUAUUUAAAUGAUGGUCUCGUCUGGUUCCUACAUCUUUCAACAUAAGCAUUGCCUUUCACAAAGAACCAAAGCAAAAUGAAAGCGUCAGUUAUAUGCAGCAUAGGCUCAAGAAUUUAAUUAGUACCUAAGUGUUAUUCUGAACAGUCACAGCAGAGUUUGUUAGGUUGCUAAAUGGCCCCCUGGGCCCUGAUGGGCUUAGCUGGGAGGACAGGAGCUCCUAUGAGAUGGCAGAGGUGAGUGUACCCUGUGCAGAUCAGCACUCGGCUUGGAGUGUCCUCCUGAUUCAACUGUUGCUUUCGUGGAAACGGAGGCUCUAGGUUAUGUGGAAAGUAGAAGAGUCACAGGGCUUAGACAGCUAAAGGGCCAGAUUUCUAAUCUGGGAUCACAGCAUUCAGCCUCUGCUAUAACCACCUAUUCAAUGCUUUUUCAGCAUUCAAACUAAAAACUCAGUGACCGGCGAUCCCCACACGCUUCCUGAAAUCAAGAGCUGAUCUCCUUAAUGAGCAACGCAUGGCUGUCACACCUCGUGCAUGUCGCUGCUCAGAGCCCUGAAGCACAACCUCCUGAAGCCCUGGGCGGUCACCCCACGUCUCUGCGCCUCUUUGAGGAGCACAGACUUCAAGAUCAGUAUCUCCCUUCCCCAUCUGCCACCUUUCCAUUUGUCUGUGUUUUUAGCAUCAACUGAAAUUCCCUUUGUAUAGUUCCAGUCCGUGUGAUUGAGGAGUUGCUGUACGAUCAGGUAAGCUUGCAGACACAGCUGGUUUUAUAACGUUCCCCAUAGUGCCCACAAAAGCAGAGCCCAGCAGCAGCCCCCACGGGGAGUUUGGGCCAUACAACCCGAGCUGUGUGGGUUUGUCCUACUAAAAGAUGUUGUAAUACGUAUGGAUAACUUGAAGCAAAGAAUACGUUCCAUAGCAACUGCAGUGUUUGUAGUAGCAAUAGCACAUGGGAAUGCCUCAGCACUGCAUUUCAGUGAUUGUAUGGACAUGCUGCAAGGAAAACUGUAGUAAUGAAGCACUGCCUGGAAAAAAAUAGAUGCAAAGCCAAAUUUUUACAACUAGUGUGAGCAACUUAUAAAUGAAACCCACUGAGAAUCAAAGGGAAAGAGCUUGUCAAGCACGGCUAGCCCAAGCAGCAUGGGUUAAGCCACGUCUUGUCAGGUUGUAUGGCGUAUGCCCUUUCUGUAUGCCCAGAAGGAGAAGCAAGGAGAUAUCUUUGUGCUGUAUCCCAGGUCUUGUUCCCUGAGCUCCAGCACUCCUACCCGCUGCACAGAGCAGCGAGACCAACGCAAACCCCAGAGUAAGAGAUCUGCAAAGGGUGGAGUUUGCGGUAGAAUAAUCUGGAAAACAUCUCUAAUUUUUAUAGAUAUAAAGCUCUGUGGAUUUUUAGUUUUGUGUAACCCGUAGAAACUAAUACAAAUGUAAAGAACGUUUUAAUCGACAUCUUUUAGCAUAAGUAAUACUCGAGAAAUAUAACAAAAUACGAAGUAUUGAGUUACUUCCCAGAGUCCCAUUGUUUUUAUUCCGCGUACAAAGAAAUGUAUGAGCCCUGAAGCAGUUUGAGAGGUAAAGGUUAAAUAAUGGGUAUGUAUUCAGCAUUUUAAAACUAAGAAACUGUGGAGCUCUGCAGUCCCUUGUACACAAAGAGCUUGUCAGCACGAGUUGGUGAGAGUGGUGGGAGAUCAGUGCUGGCAGCCCAGAGGAGACGAGCAGGAAGGGUUCGAGCUGAAAAGCAUAAAGAAGAAGGGAGUUAAUCGUGGUCUGUAAAACCAACGUUACUUCUAUUUGUUCCUUUGGCAUCGCAAUACCACUCCAAAACAGAGGCCAACUGUUAACAGAGGCAAAGCCAACUUCAUCCUUUGCAGGCUGACGAAUGGUCAUGUAAGUUACCAAAUAACCCAAGACCUCAGGAUUAAACUUCUCCAAUUGUUUUCACAUGAUGCAACUUUAAAUCUCUCUUUUGAACAGUAUUAAAUUUCCUUUCAUUCCCAUAAACUUCAGAAAAAGUUGACUGCUCUCACAUUUCAGACUGUGACCCAGCUAACUUGCACUUUUCCCCUCUGCUAGUCUGGAGAGCAGAAUAAUGAAAUUCAGACAACGGUGACCAAAUGUUGCUCCGUGGAACUUUCCUUUUACAAAACAGAUGAAUGCUCCUGGGCUCCAAAACACUGCAGGGAACAAAACUUUCAAACCUUAUGGAAAUAAAAUAGUAAGCCUAUGCAGUGACUUCAUCUCCUUUAUCAGAUCAGAGACGUUUUCUCUGGAAUUGAAAUGGAUUAGAAAAAACCCUCUAAGUAGAGGAAAAGAAUUAAAAUAUCCCACUGAAGCCAUUACUGAAAUACUGCUUUAUUUCAAAAAACACACCCACACGGGUGAACACUGAAUUUCACAGAGAAGAAAAACUGCCACAUCAUCAUCGUUCACAGACCUCGUGUUGCAGAUAGAAGUGUGCUAUGGUCAGGCAGGAAAAUAAAUAUCGCAGUGUUUGUGAUCAAAGGGAGAGAUAAGGCCGUGUGCUGCGUGUUCUGAUCCUGACGGAGGGCUGUAGAAAAUGACCACAGAUAAGCGGCUGAUGUGAGGGCUGGGAUUUUUGCCUCUGGGAUCCCCUGGAAACCCGAACAAGUCGGACCAUCCAGCACCUCGCCAGAUGAGGCCCUGUAUUUAUGUAAUGAGAAAUACCCACUGCGCUGCAGAUUUGUUGCUAGUGUGAGUGAGAUUGCGUUCACUUAAGCCCAUUGCAAAUGUAGCCACUAGAGUCAAAAUAAAAGGAGCCAAAAUAUAUAAAUCCAGCAGACAGAGUUUAUAGGGGAACUAAACCAAACAUUCAACAUGGAGAUUUAGUGCAGCCGAACUGGUGUAACUAAACAGGGUACCUUACAUCAUUCUGUGUCCUACGGGCACGGUCCCCGUUUUAGUGGCGUGCUGCGCUCACGCUGAUAUCAAUAAAAGUCUAACAUGCAAAAUGAGUGGAAUAUACGAGAUGUCAGAUGGUGCGGGACGAGCCCAUAAAGCCCAUACCUAAAAUCCACUGUCACGCUUUUGGCAACCCCCAGCCAACUUCCAUGCAAAUUCCACCCCUGGAUCCUUAACUGAUUUUGCCUUAAUUGAAAGCCUUAAAGGUGAAUUGAAAUGUUGUUGGAAUAAAAACCUGUUUAAGAUGCCAAAUCCCUAACAAAAUCCCAGUGCAGACUUACAAGUAAAUAAAUUGUAAAGGCAAACGUGCAGGCCUUCUUAUUAACCUGUCAAACCACGAAUUCUGGAAUCUGUUCUUCUCUUGCAAAAUUUGUGACAUUCUUCUCCCCCUAAUGACUGGAGUAUUUUACUGCUUUGCGGGCCCGGCAACAAUGAUGACAUUGUUUAGGAAGGUGGUGAAAUCUCCCUUGCUCAUGGUGAUGACUGGGGGACCGCUUCCCCAUUAAUUUAUGUGGAGAAUUGGGAGGUACAGACCAGAUGCCAUGGCCCUUUCUUGGCAGUGCUGCUCACUACACGUUGGGCUGGGGCUGCCCAUGAGGUUGUCUGAUACGGUGUGAAGUCAUGGAUGGAAGCAGCUGAGUGUGAGGAUAGUUCAGCUUUCCAAACUAUUGCUUUAAUGACCUCCUCCCUGAAUUUGAUUUUUGAGGACUAGGUUAAGUGAUUCCUCUUGCAAAAAGCAAGCAAACUCUGUAAGAGAAAUUGUGGGCCCUUUGACUGUAAGGGCCAUCACCUGACAUAUUUUGCACAAGUAUAACCUGCUCGUGCCCAAACUAAACUCAAUCCAUGACCUUAUUUUGGAGAUUCACUUCUCGGGGUAAUGAGGAAAUCAGAGUUGAAACAAUUGCAACGCUUCCCUACCGAAAGAUCCCUACAAAGCUCAGCAUCUGCAGUGUAAAUCACCAGCUGUGGGACUUGGAAGCAUCACUGCUGCAUGCUGCUCCUGUUGCCUGUCCUGUUCUGCACCUCGUCUGGUUGUUGAAUUAAUGCUUUGGAAGCACAUUGGAUACCGAAUCUGAUGAAACGCCGGGUGUCAGCGUGCAGUUAUGAACAUGAAACUACUACAACAACAAAAAUAAUGCAUUAUAAGCAUUAUAAUCCCUAUGUUUGCAUGUGUUAUUAAGUAGUCUCUGGUGUUUGCGUCCCAUUCUAUCACCCUUGUCCUUCCGGAAGGGUAACAUUACAUGUUACGCAGCUAUGUAAUUCAAGAAUAUAAAGAACAGAGUCCUGCUAUAUAUAUAAAAUUCCAAUGUAGUACACAUACGAAAGGCAAAGAAUUGUGGUCUGUUUCAGGCUUUUGCCUUUAUCUUUUCCAUUGCCUCCUGCCAAUUUUCAAAGUACUCCCAGAUCACAGACCGAACUAGAUUAUCCGAACAAGAACUCGGCCUCCCGGUCCUCCCUGCUACCACUCCCCAGGGAUACAGCCUGCCCUCUGACCCCCGGCAAUGCUCCCUCCCACUGCUACCUAUCACUGCCCGAUCCUUUGCUUUCCUCUUCAGGCAAAGGCAUUUCAGCCUGAGAAGGAAGCAGAGCUGUGCACACUGGCACCAGCACACCUACUCCUUGGCUUGCUUGGCCCCAAAAUGAAGGGAGACCCUGGAGGGUCUGUGCAUCCCUCCUCCUACAGACACAGUGAAAUAUGUCAUCAUUUGUACUGCACUCACUUUGGAAAACUCAGCUAGGAAAUGAAGGAUGUGCUCAGUGAGACAAUGUCGGCACUGCUGUCAGACAGAAUUCCCACCCUAAAGAAUUGUCAGCGGAAGCAAAGAUAUUUGUUAGUCUCCAGUACUCAAGAAGUACCACCAAUGGCUGUUUUCUACACCAUGGCAGCAUUAAAAGAUCAGUGGUGAACUCAGAUUUAAAUGGGGACUUCCCAUGGGUGCAUGGAUUUUCGGAAUCUGCAGGGCCUGGCCUUGUCUUCAGCUUCCACUCUGGAAUCCUCACUGGGCUCUGAUUCUAGUUACAUCUCAAGUGGGCAGAGGAUGAUUGCUAUGGCCUCGGUGGUUGAAAUGAGAAAGAUCUGGAAUAGAUUAAUGGGAGUGUGAGAGAUGGAAAGGAAAACAAGGACUUUCUCAUAAUGUGACACAAUACUUAAGAACACACACUGUCGAGUCUCUCUUAGCUUGCUGUACUUCUGACACUAUUCUCUUACAAUAUUUUGCUUAUCAUCCUCUUGUUAAGUUUAUUGUACUUACAAAUCAUUCCCAGACAGCCAGCUUCUUAGAUAUCUUUUCAUUAAAAAAAAAAAAAAGAAAAGAAUAAAAGAAUAAAAAGGUUUUGUGUGUAAUACAUUUCCCCUGCAGGAACUGAUUCCUCAGCACUGCUGACUACAAGCCUCUCCUUGUUUUAAAACACACAGCCAUGCAUCUGGCAGCGGGCUCUUCUCCCCACAGCCACCUCCUGAACCUUCAUCUGUGCAUCGCAUCUCCGCAGCAUCCUGCAAACCACGUGGGAGAAACUGCCUCUAAUUUGUCCACCCACCUCACAGCGUGUCACUACCCCGACUACUUCUUGCCAUCGGAUCCUUACUGAUACUCUGCAUUGUUCGUUUUGGGGUGUUGAGGGCCGUGUCCGCUCUGGUUCCUUUGUUUAAUGUAUUUUUAGUUCUUCCACUGCGGUAUGACAGAGUGCAGCGUGUUCAAGGAAAAGUGGGGAGAAUAUUUGUAUUGAUUUCAAAAUGCUGCAGAUUAAGAGCAGAUGUAGUAUGUAUUCCCCAAACGUAUGUUUUAACUUUCA